GGGUUGAAAGAGGCUCAAAUAAUUUAAUUCACAUAUUGUUGGCUGCGGGAGCCAAUAAUAAAUUAGAAUAAAUAGAAAUGGACCCAAAACAUGGUUCAUGAUUUAUCAGCAAUACCAGUUAUCUGCGGCCCCAAUUGUCUCUGCUUCCUCUGCCACUCUGCACAUGAUCAGCAGACUCAUCUGAGCUGCACACACACACACACACACAAAGGUGUGCAUACACAUUGGGAAAUAUGAUACAAACACUUUAAGUGAAGAACAAGCAUAUGUGAGAGUUAGUAGAGGCAGAGAGAUACAGGCAGCUGCAUGUUUUGGUCUUCUUGAAUGAUAAUGUGAUGAGAGCAAUCAUUUUUCAGAGAUUACAUAUGAAUUCAAAAGCAAAGACAAAGAAGAGAGAGUAGUAGAUAUGAUGAGAUAUGGUUUCAGAUAUGCUAGAAUAGUGUUGCAGCAAGGCAACUUGAUCACAUGAUGUAACAGCAGAUCCUCCUACCCAGAUCAAAGCAGCAUCAAAAUAAGAACUCAACUACUCAUAUCUGCCUUUGCAACUUGCUUUAAUACCAUAGUUCCUUCAUUGUAGAAUAGAUUACUUGAGCAUGGUGAAGAGUAAAAAGGUUAUGAUCGAACUUUGACAAUGUGUAAUUCAUCUUCAAAGUUCUUAGUAAAUUCAAGUAGUACUAUAGUAUCAAGUAUCACAUAAUAAUUGUACCUAGCUAGCCCCUACAUGUUUCUGCAUCUUGUCUUCAACUCCAGACAAUGGCUAUUCUGCACUCUGGCACCGAUAGGACAUUUCAAAAGGGAAAAUAAUUGAAAGACAAAAUGGAAUUCUCAGUCACACAGCUGUAUGAAGAAUCUAAAGCAAUCAUCAAAGAACAUAGCAAACUAGUUGCAAGCAUGGAGAAUUUCAUCUGUGCAUAUACCAUUAUACCCAGUCCAAGUACCUAGGUCCAAGUAAUUAGCCCAACAUUACAGAAAACCCUCUAAAAUGUACCUGAAGUCCUAGUAGUAAAGAGAGAAAUUGUAAUGCCAUAUAGCUUACCAAGGAGAUUCAUGGUUAUACCAUUGCAGUUCUUUUUCUAAAUGUGAUUGUCUACUACUUAAAAAACGAAUGGAAAUUAAUUUUCUUCCAAUGACCAAAUUUCACUGAUCAAAAAUACUAAUAGGCAUCCUG
Molecule: long non-coding RNA, 1168 nt
Organism: Rosa chinensis
Lineage: Eukaryota; Viridiplantae; Streptophyta; Magnoliopsida; Rosales; Rosaceae
Exons: 3
Source: RefSeq, a predicted model, not a curated record